This is a long non-coding RNA of Clupea harengus (Atlantic herring), 845 nucleotides long. The record is from Ensembl. NCBI's taxonomy places the organism in Eukaryota, Metazoa, Chordata, Actinopteri, Clupeiformes, Clupeidae.
GUAUGGUCCUGAGAACAUUAGCCUACCUACAGGUUGGCCACUUGGCCCAUCUAAGAAGACUCCUCCCUCAACAAGCUAUUCAGAAACCUCUGUUCAAGGACACGUUUGAAUGAAACCAUGUAACAUAUAGACAAACCCAGCAGGUGAAGGUGGAGCGCAAGCUUGGCUCUGAGUACCUGGGUGCUGCUGAGCACACAGCCUGCAGAAGCAGCGGAGGCAGUGCGACUGAGAGAGAGAGAGAGAGAGAGAGAGAGAGAACCAGCCCACCACCUGCAGCCUCGCACACACAGGCAUGAAGAAACACCUUCCUGGAUCACAGAAACUCAGUGCGAGGAACCUCUGAGAUGUUGGAGCUUUAAUCAAGGUGGGGAAUGCGGACGACAGCGUGGGACAACAGGAAGACAGACUGGCUGUGAGGAUGUGAUGGACACUCUAGUGGGCUGAAAAACAGGUCAGCGCUCUGUCAUCGCCGAGAAAUGCAAACAAUUGUGACCUUACUGUUUGGGCCUUUCUACUGGCGACCUGUGCGCUGCAGAUGUGUGUAGCCCACGCGAGGACUCGGUUGCAUGCAAAGUGACACAACUUUGACAAAGGGUUCCGGAGCGGUCGUUUCUCCCCGCUGCCGAUGACACACUCUUUCCACUUUCUCCGCUCUCUCUCGGUGCGGUCUACGUGACGUAGUCUUUAGGCUAAGUGGCCUGAUUAUGCCCCAUUGUGUGGUUUAAUGUAUUUGAUUAUGGGGCCAUAUGUGACUGUAGAUUGGAAAUUUGCAAGAGAACACAAGGGCAAGUGAAAACCUCCAGGCCUUGUUAUUGUAAAACAGGUGUAGUGGCCGUGCACCUGGG